Molecule: ribosomal RNA, 450 nt
Filed under: uncultured bacterium
Lineage: Bacteria
Description: bacterial SSU rRNA
Rfam family: Bacterial small subunit ribosomal RNA
Source: RNAcentral
GUGGGGAAUAUUGGACAAUGGGCGAAAGCCUGAUCCAGCCAUGCCGCGUGUGUGAAGAAGGUCUUCGGAUUGUAAAGCACUUUAAGUUGGGAGGAAGGGCAGUAAGUUAAUACCUUGCUGUUUUGACGUUACCAACAGAAUAAGCACCGGCUAACUUCGUGCCAGCAGCCGCGGUAAUACGAAGGGUGCAAGCGUUAAUCGGAAUUACUGGGCGUAAAGCGCGCAUAGGUGGUUCAGCAAGUUGAAGGUGAAAUCCCCGGGCUCAACCUGGGAACUGCCUCCAAAACUACUGAGCUAGAGUACGGUAGAGGGUAGUGGAAUUUCCUGUGUAGCGGUGAAAUGCGUAGAUAUAGGAAGGAACACCAGUGGCGAAGGCGACUACCUGGACUGAUACUGACACUGAGGUGCGAAAGCGUGGGGAGCAAACAGGAUUAGAUACCCGAGUAGUCC